This 305-nucleotide ribosomal RNA is filed under the name uncultured bacterium. Its description in RNAcentral is "bacterial SSU rRNA". It matches the Rfam family "Bacterial small subunit ribosomal RNA", at positions 338 to 640 of the family's 1533-position model. The record is from RNAcentral.
CCUACGGGGGGCAGCAGUGAGGAAUAUUGGUCAAUGGGCGGAAGCCUGAACCAGCCAAGUCGCGUGAGGGAAUAAGGCCCUACGGGUCGUAAACCUCUUUUGCCGGGGAGCAAGGGCGGGGACGUGUCCCGGCCCGGAGAGUACCCGGAGAAAAAGCAUCGGCUAACUCCGUGCCAGCAGCCGCGGUAAUACGGAGGAUGCGAGCGUUAUCCGGAUUUAUUGGGUUUAAAGGGUGCGUAGGCGGUUUUUUAAGUUAGUGGUUAAACGUCGGGGCUUCACCCUGAUUUGCCAUUAAUACUGUAAGA